AACCUCCGCAAUGUGAGAAAUCGCGACGGGGGGAUCCCAAGUGCCAUUCUUAACGGGAUGGCUUUUCAUUAGUGUAAAGAGCUUUUGGAAUAAGAGCUGGGCAAGACCGGUGCCAGCCGCCGCGGUAACACCGGCAGCUCUAGUGGUAGCAAUUUUUAUUGGGCCUAAAGCGUCCGUAGCCGGUUUAAUAAGUCUCUGGUGAAAUCCUGUAGCUUAACUGUGGGAACUGCUGGAGAUACUAUUAGACUUGAGACCGGGAGAGGUUAGAGGUACUCCCAGGGUAGAGGUGAAAUUCUGUAAUCCUGGGAGGACCGCCUGUUGCGAAGGCGUCUAACUGGAACGGUUCUGACGGUGAGGGACGAAAGUUAGGGGCGCGAACCGGAUUAGAUACCCGGGUAGUCCUAACUGUAACGAUGCGGACUUGGUGUUGGGGUGGCUUUGAGCUGUCUCAGUGCCGAAGGGAAGCUGUUAAGUCCGCCGCCUGGGAAGUACGGUCGCAAGACUGAAACUUAAAAGGAUA
This 520-nucleotide ribosomal RNA is filed under the name uncultured bacterium. Its description in RNAcentral is "bacterial SSU rRNA". It matches the Rfam family "Archaeal small subunit ribosomal RNA", at positions 345 to 866 of the family's 1478-position model. The record is from RNAcentral.